RNAcentral lists this ribosomal RNA (493 nucleotides) under uncultured bacterium. Its description in RNAcentral is "bacterial SSU rRNA". It matches the Rfam family "Bacterial small subunit ribosomal RNA", at positions 28 to 507 of the family's 1533-position model. The record is from RNAcentral.
GAUGAACGCUAGCGGGAGGCUUAACACAUGCAAGUCGAGGGGCAGCAAUAGGGUAGACAAUACUCUGAUGGCGACCGGCAAACGGGUGAGUAACGCGUAUGCAACCUACCCUGUACAGGGGGAUAACCCGGAGAAAUUCGGACUAAUAUCCCGUAAUAAUAUCCGGAGGCAUCUUUGGAUAUUUAAAGUUCCGACGGUACGGGAUGGGGCAUGCGUAACAUUAGCUGGUUGGUAAGGUAACGGCUUACCAAGGCUAUGAUGUUUAGGGGUCCUGAGACGGGUGGUCCCCCACACUGGUACUGAGACACGGACCAGACUACCUACGGGAGGCAGCAGUGAGGAAUAUUGGUCAAUGGGCGCAAGCCUGAACCAGCCAUCCCGCGUGCAGGAAGACGGCCCUAUGGGUUGUAAACUGCUUUUCCAGGGAGAAGAAACUUACGCACGUGUUGCGUGACUGACGGUACCCUGGGAAUAAGCAUCGGCUAACUCCGUG